Transfer RNA from Naegleria gruberi, 73 nucleotides. It matches the Rfam family "tRNA". From Rfam's summary of the family: Transfer RNA (tRNA) molecules are approximately 80 nucleotides in length. NCBI's taxonomy places the organism in Eukaryota, Heterolobosea, Eutetramitea, Acrasida, Naegleriidae. The record is from Rfam.
GCCGACAUAGCUCAGUUGGGAGAGCGUAAGACUGAAGAUCUUAAGGUCCCUGGUUCGAUCCCUGGUGUCGGCA